GGAGGGGUGGCAGAGCGGUUGAAUGCACUGGUCUUGAAAACCAGCAUGCGUCUUACGGCGUAUCGAGGGUUCGAAUCCCUCCCCCUCCG
This 89-nucleotide transfer RNA is filed under the name Solirubrobacterales bacterium. Its description in RNAcentral is "tRNA-Ser". It matches the Rfam family "tRNA". Rfam says of the family: Transfer RNA (tRNA) molecules are approximately 80 nucleotides in length. Their secondary structure includes four short double-helical elements and three loops (D, anti-codon, and T loops). Further hydrogen bonds mediate the characteristic L-shaped molecular structure. tRNAs have two regions of fundamental functional importance: the anti-codon, which is responsible for specific mRNA codon recognition, and the 3' end, to which the tRNAs corresponding amino acid is attached (by aminoacyl-tRNA synthetases). tRNAs cope with the degeneracy of the genetic code in two manners: having more than one tRNA (with a specific anti-codon) for a particular amino acid; and 'wobble' base-pairing, i.e. permitting non-standard base-pairing at the 3rd anti-codon position. RNAcentral also lists the same sequence under 1 other name. Lineage: Bacteria; Bacillati; Actinomycetota; Thermoleophilia; Solirubrobacterales. The record is from RNAcentral.